Molecule: ribosomal RNA, 254 nt
Filed under: uncultured bacterium
Lineage: Bacteria
Description: partial 16S ribosomal RNA
Rfam family: Bacterial small subunit ribosomal RNA
Source: RNAcentral
UACGUAGGGUGCAAGCGUUAAUCGGAAUUACUGGGCGUAAAGCGUGCGCAGGCGGUUGUGCAAGACAGAUGUGAAAUCCCCGGGCUUAACCUCGGGAACUGCAUUUGUGACUGCACAGCUGGAGUGCGGCAGAGGGGGAUGGGAAUUCCGCGUGUAGCAGUGAAAUGCGUAGAUAUGCGGAGGAACACCGAUGGCGAAGGCAAUCCCCUGGGCCUGCACUGACGCUCAUGCACGAAAGCGUGGGGAGCAACAGG